Molecule: ribosomal RNA, 567 nt
Filed under: Debaryomyces hansenii
Lineage: Eukaryota; Fungi; Ascomycota; Pichiomycetes; Serinales; Debaryomycetaceae
Description: partial large subunit ribosomal RNA
Rfam family: Eukaryotic large subunit ribosomal RNA
Source: RNAcentral
GCAUAUCAAUAAGCGGAGGAAAAGAAACCAACAGGGAUUGCCUUAGUAACGGCGAGUGAAGCGGCAAAAGCUCAAAUUUGAAAUCUGGCACCUUCGGUGUCCGAGUUGUAAUUUGAAGAAGGUAACUUUGGAGUUGGCUCUUGUCUAUGUUCCUUGGAACAGGACGUCACAGAGGGUGAGAAUCCCGUGCGAUGAGAUGCCCAAUUCUAUGUAAAGUGCUUUCGAAGAGUCGAGUUGUUUGGGAAUGCAGCUCUAAGUGGGUGGUAAAUUCCAUCUAAAGCUAAAUAUUGGCGAGAGACCGAUAGCGAACAAGUACAGUGAUGGAAAGAUGAAAAGAACUUUGAAAAGAGAGUGAAAAAGUACGUGAAAUUGUUGAAAGGGAAGGGCUUGAGAUCAGACUUGGUAUUUUGCGAUCCUUUCCUUCUUGGUUGGGUUCCUCGCAGCUUACUGGGCCAGCAUCGGUUUGGAUGGUAGGAUAAUGACUAAGGAAUGUGGCUCUACUUCGGUGGAGUGUUAUAGCCUUGGUUGAUACUGCCUGUCUAGACCGAGGACUGCGUCUUUGACUAG